AGCGGCGGACGGGUGCGUAAUACUUAGGAAUCUGCCCCAGUAGUGGGGGACAACACGGGGAAACUCGUGCUAAUACCGCAUACACCUUACGAGGAAAAGGGGCCUUAGGGUCUCGCUAUUGGAUGAGCCUAAGCAAGAUUAGCUAGUUGGUGGGGUAAAGGCCUACCAAGGCGACGAUCUUUAGCUGGUCUGAGAGGAUGAUCAGCCACACUGGGACUGAGACACGGCCCAGACUCCUACGGGAGGCAGCAGUGGGGAAUAUUGGACAAUGGGGGCAACCCUGAUCCAGCCAUGCCGCGUGUGUGAAGAAGGUCUUUUGAUUGUAAAGCACUUUAAGCAGUGAAGAAGAAAUUAUGGUUAAUACCCAUAUGCUUUGACAUUAACUGCAGAAUAAGCACCGGCUAACUCUGUGCCAGCAGCCGCGGUAAUACAGAGGGUGCAAGCGUUAAUCGGAAUUACUGGGCGUAAAGCGAGCGUAGGUGGUUAAAUAAGUCAGAUGUGAAAGCCCUGGGCUUAACCUAGGAACGGCAUCUGAAACUAUUUAACUAGAGUAGGUGAGAGGGAAGUAGAAUUCCAGGUGUAGCGGUGAAAUGCGUAGAUAUCUGGAGGAAUACCGAUGGCGAAGGCAGCUUCCUGGCAUCAUACUGACACUGAGGCUCGAAGGCGUGGGUAGCAAACAGGAUUAGAUACCCUGGUAGUCCACGCCGUAAACGAUGUUUACUAGUCGUUGGGUCUACUUGAAGACUUAGUGACGCAGCUAACGCAAUAAGUAAACCGCCUGGGGAGUACGGCCGCAAGGUUAAAACUCAAAUGAAUUGACGGGGGCCCGCACAAGCGGUGGAGCAUGUGGUUUAAUUCGAUGCAACGCGAAGAACCUUACCUGGUCUUGACAUACACAGAAUCUUGUAGAGAUACGAGAGUGCCUUCGGGAAUUGUGAUACAGGUGCUGCAUGGCUGUCGUCAGCUCGUGCCGUGAGGUGUUAGGUUAAGUCCUGCAACGAGCGCAACCCCUAUCAUUAGUUGCCAGCGUUUAAAGACGGGGACUCUAAUGAGACUGCCUACGCAAGUAGAGAGGAAGGUGGGGACGACGUCAAGUCAUCACGGCCCUUACGUCUUGGGCUACACACGUGCUACAAUGGACGUUACAGACGGUUGCCAACCCGCGAGGGGGAGCUAAUCUGAGAAAGGCGUUCGUAGUCCGGAUUGCAGUCUGCAACUCGACUGCAUGAAGUCGGAAUCGCUAGUAAUCGCAGAUCAGAAUGCUGCGGUGAAUACGUUCCCGGGUCUUGUACACACUGCCCGUCACACCAUGGGAGUUGGUUGCAAAAGAAGUAGGUAGUCUAACUUUUAGAGGACGCUUACCACUUUGUGGUCAAUGACUGGGGUGAAGUCGUAACAAGGUAACC
RNAcentral lists this ribosomal RNA (1406 nucleotides) under uncultured bacterium. RNAcentral describes it as "16S ribosomal RNA". It matches the Rfam family "Bacterial small subunit ribosomal RNA". The record is from RNAcentral.